Perca fluviatilis (European perch) is the source of this 206-nucleotide long non-coding RNA. RefSeq lists it as uncharacterized. The record is from RefSeq and is a predicted model, not a curated record. The transcript has 3 exons. Lineage: Eukaryota; Metazoa; Chordata; Actinopteri; Perciformes; Percidae.
UUGGAAGAACAAGCAGAAAAUAGUGACAACGAGCUCUCACUUGUACGUCAAGAAUUGCUAGAAAUAAAAAAAUUCAUCUUCACAGAGAUACCUCAGAUAAAAGAAAUGCUCAAUAGCUCCAUGCACCUCGGCAGUCCAGGGUCUCUCCCCAGCCCUUCAAACCCUGUUCAAAUAGAAGAAAUUGUCCCGGGUUCAGGUGUUUACGU